CACCCCAGUCGCUAAUUCCACCGUGGAGGGUAGCCAGUUUAGCUUCCCCGCUUCGGGUGAAAUCAACUCCCAUGGUGUGACGGGCGGUGAGUACAAGACCCGGGAACGUAUUCACCGUAGCAUAGCUGAUCUACGAUUACUAGUGAUUCCAGCUUCAUGUAGUCGAGUUGCAGACUACAAUCCGAACUGAGACCAGGUUUAUAGAUUUGCUCCACCUCGCGGUAUCGCCUCUCAUUGUCCUGGCCAUUGUAGCACGUGUGUUGCCCUAGCCGUAAGGGCCAUGAUGACUUGACGUCGUCCUCACCUUCCUCCUCCUUACGAAGGCAGUCUCACUAGAGUCCUCGGCCGAACCGUUAGUAACUAGUGACGAGGGUUGCGCUCGUUGCGGGACUUAACCCAACAUCUCACGACACGAGCUGACGACAGCCGUGCAGCACCUGUAUAUUAGCUCCCGAAGGCACCACUCUAUCUCUNAAGUGNUCUAAAAUAUGUCAAGGCUAGGUAAGGNUCUUCGCGUAUCUUCGAAUUAAACCACAUGCUCCACCACUUGUGCGGGUCCCCGUCUAUUCCUUUGAGUUUUAAUCUUGNGACCGUACUCCCCANNNNGAAUGUUUAAUGNGUUAGCUGCAUCACCGAAUAGACUANCUACCCNANGACUAA
RNAcentral lists this ribosomal RNA (660 nucleotides) under uncultured bacterium. RNAcentral's name for it is "partial 16S ribosomal RNA". The record is from RNAcentral.